UACGUAGUUGGCAAGCGUUGUCCGGAUUUAUUGGGCGUAAAGGGCGCGUAGGCGGUCACGCACGUCCGUUGUGAAAUCGCUCGGCUCAACUGGGCGGGGUCAGCGGAUACGGCGUGGCUGGAGCAAGCUAGGGGGCAAUGGAAUUCCCGGUGUAGUGGUGGAAUGCGUAGAUAUCGGGAGGAACACCAGUGGCGAAGGCGGUUGCCUGGAGCUUUGCUGACGCUGAUGCGCGAAAGCGUGGGGAGCGAUCCGG
Molecule: ribosomal RNA, 253 nt
Filed under: uncultured bacterium
Lineage: Bacteria
Description: partial 16S ribosomal RNA
Rfam family: Bacterial small subunit ribosomal RNA
Source: RNAcentral